CCUACGGGAGGCUGCAGUGGGGAAUAUUGCACAAUGGGGGAAACCCUGAUGCAGCGACGCCGCGUGAGUGAAGAAGUAUUUCGGUAUGUAAAGCUCUAUCAGCAGGGAAGAAAAUGACGGUACCUGACUAAGAAGCCCCGGCUAACUACGUGCCAGCAGCCGCGGUAAUACGUAGGGGGCAAGCGUUAUCCGGAUUUACUGGGUGUAAAGGGAGCGUAGGUGGCAUGGUAAGCCAGAAGUGAAAACCCGGGGCUCAACCCCGCGGAUUGCUUUUGGAACUAUCAGGCUGGAGUGCUGGAGGGGUAAGCGGAAUUCCUAGUGUAGCGGUGAAAUGCGUAGAUAUUAGGAGGAACACCAGUGGCGAAGGCGGCUUGCUGGGCUUUUACUGACGCUGAGGCUCGAAAGCGUGGGGAGCAAACAGGAUUAGAUACCCCGGUAGUC
This 441-nucleotide ribosomal RNA is filed under the name uncultured bacterium. Its description in RNAcentral is "partial 16S ribosomal RNA". It matches the Rfam family "Bacterial small subunit ribosomal RNA", at positions 338 to 795 of the family's 1533-position model. The record is from RNAcentral.